Molecule: ribosomal RNA, 253 nt
Filed under: uncultured bacterium
Lineage: Bacteria
Description: partial 16S ribosomal RNA
Rfam family: Bacterial small subunit ribosomal RNA
Source: RNAcentral
UACGGAGGGUGCAAGCGUUAUCCGGAUUCACUGGGUUUAAAGGGUCCGUAGGCGGUCUUAUAAGUCAGUGGUGAAAUCUCCCCGCUCAACGGGGAAACGGCCAUUGAUACUGUAGGACUUGAAUUAUUAGGAAGUAACUAGAAUAUGUAGUGUAGCGGUGAAAUGCUUAGAGAUUACAUGGAAUACCAAUUGCGAAGGCAGGUUACUACUAAUGGAUUGACGCUGAUGGACGAAAGCGUGGGUAGCGAACAGG